UGGCAUUCGAAUUUGGGCCACCUAAAC
RNAcentral lists this non-coding RNA (27 nucleotides) under Mus musculus (house mouse). The record is from RNAcentral. Lineage: Eukaryota; Metazoa; Chordata; Mammalia; Rodentia; Muridae.